Jatropha curcas is the source of this 3287-nucleotide long non-coding RNA. RefSeq lists it as uncharacterized. Lineage: Eukaryota; Viridiplantae; Streptophyta; Magnoliopsida; Malpighiales; Euphorbiaceae. The record is from RefSeq and is a predicted model, not a curated record.
UAAUUUGCAUGGCAUUUGUGCCUGUCUGAAUAUUAGCUCCUGUUGUGUGUCAGCUACUGUAUUCUUUUUUUUUCUUGUGUGAAUUUGAAAAACCAAUAGAUUUACCCUUUGCUUGAGCAGUGUCGAGAUAAGGAAUUUAGUAGGGUAACCAAAAAUCUUUAUGGACCCGCUGCUGGAAUCGUGGUGGAUUUCAUUUGAACAAAAGGGGGGACAGAGAAUCUUGUGGGAUGAUGUGAUUUGCGAACCACUUGUUUCAUUGUUUGGUUAAAUGGGAUAUUUUCAAAUCAUUUUACUAAUUGUUGAUAAGAUGGUUUUAUAUGUAUAAAACACAGAUAUUAUUCAUGUCCAUAGAUAAGUAAUACUAUUUCAGUUAUUUGUGCAUUGUCGAGCAAUGAUUCCCCACUAAUCAUGUCUUGUCAUUACAUCACUAUCAUUCCUAGUAGAUUUAGAGGUUUUUGUGCAUCUGGACCCAUGUUUAUGUAUUGACGGUGAUAGAGAGGAAGCUUGUCAUUAUCCUUAACUUUAUGAUCUUUUGCCACUGAAAUCGACUGAUUAUAAUUUGCUCAACAAUGUCAAUUUGAUGAUUAUCAAAAAGCAUGGCCAUUAUGUAGUAUCUGUUACCUUGUUCAUAUCCUUCAAUCUUGUGAGUUAGACUUGAGUUUACCUUUCUGGUUGUGGCUGGAGAAUUAGAAUUAGUACUUUUGGUGCCAAACAAGUUCAGCUUUCAGCAACAGCGUGCUGCUUUUGUGUAUUGAUUUGAGUUGGGAAAUGCCCUAGGUCUGUUAUUAGGAAUUUGUUGUUGACUGAGCCCAAGUCCUCAGCCAAACUAGUUGCGGUCUGCUUUAUGGGUCUUUUGUUCUUACCAACAAUUAGAUGCAACUUUCAUUUACGUAAAACAUGGAGCUGAAGCAAAAGAGAAAAAUUGUGUGGAAUAUAAGGAAACCCUACAACUGACCGGAAAAUUAAGACUUGGAAAACAAAUGUCAAUUUAGGGCGUUCGAGGUUUCUCUUUAAACACAUGCUUACUGGGAUAUUUAUGAAUCCUAGUCAAGAUCUUCAUGCACAGCAGAAUUUUACAAGUGAGGAUAUCAUGCACAAAGUGCAUUAUUGCCUAGUAGGACUUAGAAUUUGAAUGCAUGUGGUGUGGUGGAUAGAUCUCAAGGAAACGUGAUCUACAAUUUGGAAGUUUAUACCUCUGCAACAAAGUCCUCUCGAGGAGCACUGGGACGCCUUUUUAUUGCCACUGUAGUAUCUUGAAGCAAACCUUUAUAUACUGACCCAAAACUUCCAUAUCCGAUGAGAUUGCUUUCACUAAAUUGCUUGGUAGCUUGCUCCAACUCAUCCAUUGUGAAUGCUCUAGCCCCUUGUGACCCAAAUAGAGGACGGCCAGGUGCUGAACUGCAUUGACCUCCCCUAUUCCACUCCACUGCCACAAGUUAGAAAGAGAAACAGUGAAUAUCACUGGAAAAGCAAUAACAAUUUCUCCAUGUUCUGUCCCUUGAGGAACAUUACCUACUGCAUAUGGAUCUGAAGAACCUGUUUCUGAGUUUUUGUUUGAAAAGUUCUUACAGUGUGACUUGCAGAACCACAAUAUGAUGAAUAUUGCAACAAGUGCCACUCCAGCAGCACCUCCUACUAUUGCAGCGUAUGGCUUUGACAUGAGGAACAGUCUUAGUGUCUACUUCAACAAAUUCAAACAAUGAAACUGCACAGAGCCAGCUCUCACAAAUUAGAGUGUGUAAACAACCAAAAAUUUGUCACGAUAUUAAGGAUGCAAGAGGAGACUUUUUUGCAAUUGGAGACCAGAUUUUGUAAGUUGGAACUCUUAAUUUCAAUACCAGUAACAGCAACCACUGAUCAAGUUGUCUUUUCUAUUGGAUUUCCUCUUGUUUACAGGGGGCAACAGGACUUUGAAGAACUUUAGCUGUGACAAGUAUUUAGGAAAACAACUGGCUGAUCUCAAGUAUCCACUAGCAAAACAGAUAUGCUUGGCAAGGUUCAAUGCCAGUAAAGUCUGAGUAAGAUAAUAGUAGAUAACUCAUUUCUUUUUCCAAGUACCCCCACUUUGAGCACCUCCAAAAAAAUUGACAUUAGAGAAGCCGUACACCGAAGAACAUCCUAUGUUUUGCUCUUUGCCAACUCAAACACUCUUUGUAUUUGAUUUCAUGGGAAAGGGGCUAAUAUUGGAGGAAAGUAGAAAACAUAGGCUACUACUGCUGAUAGACCUCAUGCUGGUUUAUAUUUGGCAUUGCUUGCAGAAAGAGUCUCUCAAGAAUUAAGCCCCCAAGGAGGAGGAAGAGAUUUUAGUGCAUGGGAAGAAGUUGUUUUAUGAUGACCACUACACUCAUUCAUUCAUGGUGACAUAUUUGGACAUACAUUGGGUUGGUUAAUCUCUCUAGCUGCUUUAUUUGGAAUCUCUCUACCAAAAAAAUCAAUGGCCCAUGUGGGUUGUUUAUUUUCAUACAGUAAAAAUUUUUGGUUUUUACCAUGAAUAUUUGGACAUGAAAACGACAUUAUUUGGGCAGGCACUGGAAGACAUAAUUAUUGAAAGGAUCAAAGAAAAGGUAGUUAUCACUCUGUCAAUUUCAAGCCUCUUCCCUGAAUUCACUCUUAUCUUCCUUUUUGCCUCUUUUUUGCCAUCUGAUCUGGAAAGAAAAGAGGGAUUCUGAUUUUGGUAUAGAGAGAUGGGACUUCUCAUCCUCAGAUGGGGUCUAUGACAACCGGGCCAACAAGACAUUACAACAGCAAUUCAGCAGGUACUCAGUUUCCAUGGCUAGAUGUUCUUGGUUUGAUGUUCCCUAAGAAUAAACGUUAGCUAUUCUGGGAAAAUGAACUGUUGGGUUUUCUCCUCUACUUGCUUGCUUCUGUAUUUAUUUAUUUCUUGCACAUAUAUGAUUGAGUUAUGAGUUGUAACCAUGAUAGUGAAGAUCACUAAGCUGUAAGUCUGUCUCUUUCUCAUUUAUUCGGUUUGUUUUCUUUCCUCAACUUGUUAUGUUAUGGGUUGGGCUGGAAAGUAAAAGAGAAAGCUAGAAAGCAACUUGUCAUGUAGUGCAAGUCAUUAGACUCAAGUAUAAAAGGCCCAUGUUAGGGACAAAGGGGGAAAGGAGCUGGGAAAGAUGGAUUCAAAACUGGGUAUAGCAAGCAAGUUAUGGUGCUUAUGCAUGGCCCUGAUUGCAAAUGCUUGUUCUUUUCUUAUAGGGGUGAACUUGUUUGUUUUCUUCAUUGUAUGAAACCUACCAUACACAAAAUUUAAUAAUAACAAAAAUGUCUCUCAUGGUGAAAUAUAA